Molecule: unclassified non-coding RNA, 311 nt
Filed under: Coprinellus xanthothrix
Lineage: Eukaryota; Fungi; Basidiomycota; Agaricomycetes; Agaricales; Psathyrellaceae
Also listed under: 2 other names
Description: partial internal transcribed spacer region
Rfam family: Eukaryotic small subunit ribosomal RNA (bases 1-46)
Source: RNAcentral
AAGUCGUAACAAGGUUUCCGUAGGUGAACCUGCGGAAGGAUCAUUAACGAAUAACUAUGGCGUUGGUUGUAGCUGGCUCCUCGGAGCAAUGUGCACGCCCGCCAUUUUUAUCUUUCCACCUGUGCACCGACUGUAGGUCUGGAUACCUCUCGCCUCCGGGCGGAUGCGAGGGUUGCUCGUAAGGGCUUCCCUUGAACUUCCAGGCUCUACGUCUUUUUACACACCCCAAUAGUAUGAUGCAGAAUGUAGUCAAUGGGCUUCUCAGCCUAUAAAACACUAUACAACUUUCAGCAACGGAUCUCUUGGCUCUC